AAUGAACGCUGGCGGCAUGCCUAAUACAUGCAAGUCGAGCGAACGGACGGGGCUCUUUCUCCGCUUCCGCUACCGACGGACGGGUAAGUACUACGUAGCUAACCUACCUAUAGGGCUAGCGUAAGUUCACGGGACCUGAUCCAGCAUCCGACCUUAUAUUGAACGUGAUGGAUCAACAGUCAAAAAGCUUUUUGCUGUGCCUAAUACAUAUAUCCGCGUCGCAUUAGCUAGUUGGUACGGUAACGGCUUACCAAGGCUACGAUGCGUAGCCGAUCUGAGAGGGUGAUCAGCCACACUGGAACUGAGACACGGUCCAGACUCCUACGGGAGGCAGCAGUAGGGAAUAUUGCACAAUGGGCGAAAGCCUGACCGAGCAACGCCGCGUGAGUGAAGAAGGUCUUCGGAUUGUAAAGCUCUGUUAGUUGGGAAGAACAAAAGUGUAUGUAUCUAUGCAUGUCUUGACGGUACCUACACAGAAAGCAACGGCUAACUACGUG
This 497-nucleotide ribosomal RNA is filed under the name uncultured bacterium. RNAcentral's name for it is "partial 16S ribosomal RNA". It matches the Rfam family "Bacterial small subunit ribosomal RNA", at positions 29 to 507 of the family's 1533-position model. The record is from RNAcentral.